GAAGAACGCUGGCGGCGUGCCUAAUACAUGCAAGUCGAGCGAACGGACGAGAAGCUUGCUUCUCUGAUGUUAGCGGCGGACGGGUGAGUAACACGUGGAUAACCUACCUAUAAGACUGGGAUAACUUCGGGAAACCGGAGCUAAUACCGGAUGAUAUUUUGAACCGCAUGGUUCAAAAGUGAAGGACGGUCUUGCUGUCACUUAUAGAUGGAUCCGCGCUGCAUUAGCUAGUUGGUAAGGUAACGGCUUACCAAGGCAACGAUGCAUAGCCGACCUGAGAGGGUGAUCGGCCACACUGGAACUGAGACACGGUCCAGACUCCUACGGGAGGCAGCAGUAGGGAAUCUUCCGCAAUGGGCGAAAGCCUGACGGAGCAACGCCGCGUGAGUGAUGAAGGUCUUCGGAUCGUAAAACUCUGUUAUUAGGGAAGAACAUAUGUGUAAGUAACUGUGCACAUCUUGACGGUACCUAAUCAGAAAGCCACGGCUAACUACGUG
RNAcentral lists this ribosomal RNA (497 nucleotides) under uncultured bacterium. Its description in RNAcentral is "partial 16S ribosomal RNA". It matches the Rfam family "Bacterial small subunit ribosomal RNA", at positions 28 to 507 of the family's 1533-position model. The record is from RNAcentral.